Molecule: non-coding RNA, 190 nt
Organism: Populus trichocarpa (black cottonwood)
Lineage: Eukaryota; Viridiplantae; Streptophyta; Magnoliopsida; Malpighiales; Salicaceae
Source: Rfam
UAGUUCGAUUUUGUGAAAUAACUUGAGAGGUGUAAGAUAAGUGGAAGUUUCGAUGAAAGUGAAAUACCACUAUUUUUAAUAUUAUUUUACUUACUUCGUGAACUGAAGACGGGCACAGUAGAUCAUAAUAAGCAUUCCCAAAAUACACGAGUUUAGCUCAUCAUAUGAUCACAUGCUAGAAUCAAAUAGG